AGUGAACGCUGGCGGCAGGCCUAACACAUGCAAGUCGAACGGCAGCACAGUAAGCUCUCGCUCUUACGGUUGGCGAGUGGCGGACGGGUGAGGAAUACAUCGCAUUCUUCUUUUUCUUGGGUGAUAACGUAGGGAAACUUACGCUACUACCGCAUAUGAUCUACGGGUUAAAGCAGUGGUUCUUCGCACCUUGCGCGUUUGAAUGAGCUGAUGUCGGAUUAGCUAGUUGGCGGGGUAAAGGCCCACCAAGGCGACGAUCCGUAGCUGGUCUGAGAGGAUGAUCAGCCACACUGGAACUGAGACACGGUCCAGACUCCUACGGGAGGCAGCAGUGGGGAAUAUUGGACAAUGGGCGCAAGCCUGAUCCAGCCAUACCGCGUGGGUGAAGAAGGCCUUCGGGUUGUAAAGCCCUUUUGUUGGGGAAGAAAAGCAGCAGGUUAAUACCCCGCUGUUCUGACGGUACCCAAAGAAUAAGCACCGGCUAACUUCGUG
RNAcentral lists this ribosomal RNA (492 nucleotides) under uncultured bacterium. RNAcentral describes it as "partial 16S ribosomal RNA". It matches the Rfam family "Bacterial small subunit ribosomal RNA", at positions 29 to 507 of the family's 1533-position model. The record is from RNAcentral.